AACGAACGCUGGCGGCAUGCCUAACACAUGCAAGUCGAACGAAGCCUUCGGGCUUAGUGGCGCACGGGUGCGUAACGCGUGGGAAUCUGCCCUUAGGUACGGAAUAACUCAGGGAAACUUGUGCUAAUACCGUAUGAUGUCGAGAGACCAAAGAUUUAUCGCCUAGGGAUGAGCCCGCGUAGGAUUAGCUAGUUGGUGGGGUAAAGGCCUACCAAGGCGACGAUCCUUAGCUGGUCUGAGAGGAUGAUCAGCCACACUGGGACUGAGACACGGCCCAGACUCCUCCGGGAGGCAGCAGUGGGGAAUAUUGGACAAUGGGCGAAAGCCUGAUCCAGCAAUGCCGCGUGAGUGAAGAAGGCCUCGGUUGUAAGACUCUUUACCC
This 382-nucleotide ribosomal RNA is filed under the name uncultured bacterium. Its description in RNAcentral is "bacterial SSU rRNA". It matches the Rfam family "Bacterial small subunit ribosomal RNA", at positions 29 to 440 of the family's 1533-position model. The record is from RNAcentral.